GUCUUUGGAGAUAUUUAGAAGAACAUGAUACCCAAGAAGACUGAGCGGUCUUUGUGGAAACAAUGGACCAGGCAGCUGAAAAGAUGCAAUAGGAUUUCAGAGGAUCACCAAAUCUCUGCACAUCCUUCAUCUGAACAAAAGCCCACCCUUCUGAGCAGUUUAAUCCAGGCUUGAUACAUGAAGCAAACUUCAGUGGACUUAUUCUUGCCUCACACCAAUGGUAAGAGGAAAGAGAAGCAAGUUAUUCAUGUUUAAUGUUAUUUUAUGCCAGAUGUUUUGCUGGUAGAAAUCCAUAGCUCCACAGGCACUAAUUUCUUCAGGAUCUGGAACGUCUGGCCCAAUUUCUUUCCCCAUUCUGGAUGGUCUGUGAAGGAAACUGCUUUAUUUUGCAAUAUUGAAUAUUCAUGCUGGGAAGUUAUAAGCAAAAACAAAAUAACAAGAGACAGGGUCUCUAAUAAGCUUCCUGUCACGUGAGGCUCAGGUUCUGUUGAAGCAGAUGUGGUUGCUGACACAUUUCCAAAAUGUUUGUUGAGUGGUGAUUAGAUUCUGUUAUAUUGAUGUUAUCUCUCUGUGAUCUCAUUCAAUUCAAGUAGUUCUGCAAGCAGUGAAAUCUUUUUUCCUAUGAAUUUACAUCUUGGAUUGUGUUUCGGCAUGGAUUCUCUGAUGUUUAAUGGGGAUUGAGUUCAUUUUAGCCUGUUUCUCCAAUGAGGGAUGAAUAAUGUCAUCUUUAUUGGCCAUCUACUUUCAUAAAGCUUGUAAGAAUUAAGUAUCUCAAGGAUGUCAAAUUGGAGUGGGAAUUAGGAACCAGUUCCAAAGUUAUCUGGGGCCAACUCAUGUAAACAAACAUGAACAUGAGUUUCAUUUUCUUACAAAAGCAGAAAGUAAGAAUCAAUUUUUUAGUAUUUUGUCCUUGUAUAUUACCUGGUUGAUUCUAUUCUGUUUAUUUGUGAUAAGUCAUGUAAGAUAUGCUUUAUCUGUAAAGCUGUAUGAAAUAUGGGAAUUUUUUUGCCACAUUGAAUAUAUAUUAAAACAUUAUUAAUUUAUACUUAUGGGCCACACAAGAGAUUACAUUAUUUUUAUUGUCCUCACUUGAGCAUGGGAAAGAGGUGAUGUGCAUUUUAACUGACAUGUUUGCACAGGCAAGUGCAGAGAAAGAAUGGAUUGUUUUUCCUUUAGAAUUAGACCUCACCAUUUCUGGUUUGGAAAGGAAGAAAGGAAACCUAGAAUUGAAAAUGACCUUUCAGGUUGCUGAGUCCAGUCUUCUGCUUCUGCAGUGAGCCAAGUUCCCAAUCUUUUUCAUAAACAGAUUGCGCUGUUCAAAAAUAUGCUCUUUCCUCCUUGUCAUCUCUCCUAUCCUCCCUGUUUCCUACUUUAUUUAGGGUUUUACUCCAGAAUUUCCUUCUUUUUAUAGGAAGAAACCUUCUAAUUUCCAUGGUCAGUUUUGUUCUUGUUUGUUCUUGUUCCAGGAAUGUUCCUUAGGUUGCUUAGUUCUUUUCUACACUGUCUAACUAGACACUGUGCAUGUGCUCUGCUAUGCCAAGUCCAGUAAAGGAGGUAGGAGUUAGUCUUCAUAGCCAGCCCUUCACUUAUUUCCCUCGUACUUUAGCUGUUUAGAGCAAAUCCUUCAUGCAUUUUUCAUGAUAUGUCACAUUAAGCAAAGAGAAAGUUCCUGUGGAUCAUAGAUAAUUUGAGGACAAGUGGAAAGGGUGGUAGGAAGGUUGGCAGCAGCCUCAGUUCACUGACUAUAGGAGGAUGGAUGAUCUGUUGCACAGCCUAAGGGGGUCAUAUGAAAAUUAAGGAUACCAUGAAAAAACUGAGAAAAUCACAGCCAUUUUAGCUUUAGUUUGUACUAAAUAAGAAACCUGAAGUCUUUCCCUGUUCCUUCCAUGUUGAUUUUUCAAAUGUUGAUAACAUCCAGUCAAGGCUUCAUGUGGUUUGGCAGGGGUUUCUUGGGGUCUGACCUGGGAAACUAUAAGGUUCCUGGAGUUUCCUGUGAAGGGUCAGGGUUCUGUACCUUCAGCAAAGCUAACUUCUCUUUCACGUCCUCCUCAGUGACAAUAAAAGUCCAUCUUGAUUUUAUUCAUUUUACUUGUAUAACACAUCUGAUUUACCUUAUCAUAUUCUCUCUAAUUAAUAAUCUCACUAGCCAUUCAAACUCUCUGCUUAUUUUUACAUUGGAAAUGUAACUUUUGCUUCUUCUAGGUUAAGAAAUGGUUAUAUGGCUAUUACGAAACAUCAGCAGGAUUUAAGAAAAAUUAUUAAAAAAUAUCACAGUUGCUUCUUUCAAACCUCCUUUUGUCUUUUUAAUCUUCUGCAAGGUUAGUUUAGUUUACUUAAUGUAAAUCAACAUUUAAUUUAAAAAUUAAAAGCAUGAAGAGGGAGGGCAAUAAUUGAAGAGGUAGAAGAAGUAGAGGAGACGAGAAGGUAAGUAGAUCAGACAAAAUUUGAUGUGUUCAGCUUCACUGCUGCCAGUGUAAAAGGCGACAUCUGUUUAUGGUUAAAGAGGAGCUAUCAUGUGGAAACAGAACAAGAGCUAGAGAUCAGGGCUCGCUUAUUCUUCUAUUGCAAAGUAGCCAGAUUUCUUCAUUAUGUUUGAUAAUGGCAGAUUAAGCCUUUGAAUCUGAGUUGGAUUUCUGAAAGGUCCCAAGAAAGAUGGCAAUGGAAAUUUUAAACCCAGAUUUUGGGAGUGUGGUUGUUCUUGCUGCAGAGCUUUUCCUUUAGAAGACCUUGUCAGCUGGAACCUGUGCCUGUAUUACGAAGUGACACACAUGUGGGUGCUAAGCAGCCAUGGUUGGACGCUGGGUGCAGAGGCCUGCUUCAGAUUCUUUAGAUGUGAGCGAUUUCUGAACAAUGCUUAUCCUAGUCCCCAAGAAAACAUAACGGCAGCCAAAGAUAAGUGAAGUGGAAUCUGGCUAAACUCAUCAUCUUCCACAUUGGUCUCCUUCUUCAUCCAAGCCUCACUCUGUCCCAGGGGACUGCAAGGGUGUGUGUGGCAGGCAGCCAUCACCCAGGAAUCUCCCCUGUGCCUGGCAAGUUAAGAUUGGGAGGGAUCUUUCCUGUUUUCUGGCCCCUUUCAGGACUGACAAAAGAAAGCCAGACACAGCUUGGAACUUGUGCCAAAGUCUUCCAAGUCUUUGUUAACUGGCAGGAUGGUGGUUAUUGGCCAGUGGUGUCUGGGUGUAAAAGAAAAAGGAAAUCAGAUGGAGUCUCAAGAGUCUAACAGGAACUGCAAAUGGUUGGGGUUGAAUGUCCUGACUUUUUUUUUAAUAUUAAACUUUAACAAAUGAUGUCACAAAGAGCAAUCCACAGCCACAUAGAAUAUGCUGCUAUCACCAGAACAGAAGCAUACACACGUUCCUGCUCACCACACAAGUGCUCUUUGCCAUGUUAUUCCACCUUCAUAGUUAACUUUGAUUGUUAGCCUGGCUAUAAGAAUAUACUGUCUACCUGUGCGUCAGCUUGUGUAUCUCACCUGUCCUUUCUUAAGCCAUUGACCAUUUGCAACUAUAUCUGAUAGAAUGAGACAAGUCUCAAAGUUAUGAAAUUCCUAAAAAAUUCAUUACUAUAGGCAGCCAUGUCUGUGUAGAGAAUAAGGGAGGAAGACCCUUCUAAGAAGAUAGAAAAUCUACAUUUGGGCAAAUCCUUAAGACACGUGUCUGUUGGAAACUGGGCUUCAACAGCACUUAGCAUAAAAUGUUUGUUUAUCUAAUACUACUACGUUUUUCUGGGACUGGCAAAUGAAUUAUUUAGUAAUGGAAACUGCAUGUGUAUCUGGCUUCUGUGGGUUCAUGUUAUAGAAAACUGUAGGAGUGUCUGCAGGGAUCGCAACUGCCCAACUUUGUGUCAUAGACCCUGUGUCUUAACAGGACACAGAAAUUCCCAUUUAGCAGAGGAGAGCAGAGAGCAUGGGGUGGCAAGUUUUAGCUUUUAUUGCUAAUGCUUUGUAAAAUAACCUUUAUGGUCUGCAGACUCAGACCUGUGCAGGUCUGCGUGACCUGAGAUUUAUUACGUCACUACCAUAUUUGUACAUCUCUCUCCAGUUCCUGGAUAUGAAAGAAAGUAAAGCUCCAAAAGUUCAGCUUGAUGUUAAUAGAUCGAGAUAUACCCAAUAUUUAACUUCUCUGGACAAAGGAACUGCAUCAAGGGUUGGCUUGUCCUGUUACAUUGUGAAGGUGUCAGCACUGUGUGCUGCAAUGCUUCAUGCAACCUUAGGGAAAAGAAAAAGAGAAAAAAAACCCGCCAAGUGUAUGUGCAAUGGAAAACAGAUGGAGUUUUCAUUAGAUGUUACUUUUAGUGAUCUGCUUUAAAAGUAAAGAUACACCAUUCUGAGCAAAAGGGUCUCCUAACAGCUUUGUUUAGGUCCCAGAUUUAUUAUCUUAGCUACAGAUAGGAUUGCAAUAUCUUUGUAUCAUUAGGAGUUCCAGUCAAACUUGCCUACCAUUAUUAGAAUUCCAAACACAGCAAAACAAUUUUGAGGUCUUAACAAUAUUUUUCCCUAAGAUGUAUCUUUCUUUAAUGAUUCAGAGUUGUUAUUAUUAUAGGCCUGGCAGUUGGUUGCUCAGUUUCUGGAGUAUUACCAUUUAACCUAGGUCAGAAUAAAAAUCCUGGAGUAUUCAUUGCAGGACAGACCUUUUGCUUCUUUGAGGGCCUGGUCUUCACAGUCAACUUUGAUGUGGCUCCUCCAAGUGGUCUUACUGGCUGUGAGAGGUGACCCUAGCAGUCUAGAAGGCCUGAAGAUCCUUCCUAAAAAAGAUGAACCCUGCAAUCUGUGCCUGUAGGUACUAAAUCAGCUUUUGACAAGUAAAGAACAAUGCAGUCCCAGGGGUUUAGGAAUAGAUGGUUGCUGCCAAACCACAAUAAAUGCUUUUGUCUGGAACUCAUGGAACAGUAACAUAGCAAUGGAGGGUGUACCCUUGUCUGUUAUUCCCUCUGAGCAAAUUCUCAGAGACAUGUUACCAUGAUUCAGAUAGAUUUCAUGGAACUAGUCGAGAAAUAGGCUUUCAUUUCCUUACAAAGGGAGGAAGAGACAAUGGAACUCAGCAAAACAUAUGGCUUUUUUUUCUUUUGUUCCUGUCUGAGAGUUAUGCAAGCAAAACCCAGUGCCCAUCCUCAGACAGUACUCUCUGAAGUGAGACUCAUGUGAGAAAAUUUGUUACCUUUCUUCUGAGUUGACAAAAUUGUUUUACUUCCUCUGCAUAUGUAUAAACACAACAUAUGUCUUCAACUCAUCUCCAGCUGGAGAGUAUGAAUCAAAAUCCAAGCUUCACAAAGUUUAAGGAAGUUUGGAGUUCAUGUUCAUUGUCACCUCUGUAGAAAAUACCUACAUAAAUAAAAUUACCUGCUUUAAUAAAAAAGAAA
Molecule: long non-coding RNA, 5358 nt
Organism: Grus americana (Whooping crane)
Lineage: Eukaryota; Metazoa; Chordata; Aves; Gruiformes; Gruidae
Exons: 2
Source: RefSeq, a predicted model, not a curated record